GAAAGCCUGACGGAGCAAUACCGCGUGAGGGAUGACUGCCUAUGGGUUGUAAACCUCUUUUUUCAGGGAGGAAUAAAUGACGUGUACCUGAAGAAUAAGCAUCGGCUAACUCCGUGCCAGCAGCCGCGGUAAGACGGAGGAUGCAAGUGUUAUCCGGAAUCACUGGGCGUAAAGCGUCUGUAGGUGGUCUAGUAAGUCAACUGUUAAAUCUCGAGGCUCAACUUCGAAACCGCAGUCGAAACUAUUAGACUAGAGUAUAGUAGGGGUAAAGGGAAUUUCCAGUGGAGCGGUGAAAUGCGUAGAGAUUGGAAAGAACACCGAUGGCGAAGGCACUUUACUGGGCUAUUACUAACACUCAGAGACGAAAGCUAGGGUAGCAAAUGGGAUUAGAUACCCCAGUAGUC
Molecule: ribosomal RNA, 404 nt
Filed under: uncultured marine phototrophic eukaryote
Lineage: Eukaryota
Description: bacterial SSU rRNA
Rfam family: Bacterial small subunit ribosomal RNA
Source: RNAcentral